Molecule: ribosomal RNA, 459 nt
Filed under: uncultured bacterium
Lineage: Bacteria
Description: partial 16S ribosomal RNA
Rfam family: Bacterial small subunit ribosomal RNA
Source: RNAcentral
CCUACGGGAGGCAGCAGUGAGGAAUAUUGGUCAAUGGCCGAGAGGCUGAACCAGCCAAGUCGCGUGAGGGAAGACGGCCCUACGGGUUGUAAACCUCUUUUGUCGGGGAGCAAAGCGAGUCACGUGUGACUCAUUGAGAGUACCCUAAGAAAAAGCAUCGGCUAACUCCGUGCCAGCAGCCGCGGUAAUACGGAGGAUGCGAGCGUUAUCCGGAUUUAUUGGGUUUAAAGGGUGCGCAGGGGGAUGUGAAAGUCAGCGGUCAAAUUUCGGGGCUAAACCCAGUACUGCCGUUGAAACUGCAAGCCUUGAGUGCGCGAGAAGUAUGCGGAAUGCGUGGUGUAGCGGUGAAAUGCAUAGAUAUCACGCAGAACUCCGAUUGCGAAGGCAGCAGACCGGCGCGCAACUGACGCUGAGGCACGAAAGCGUGGGUAUCGAACAGGAUUAGAUACCCCAGUAGUC